Erinaceus europaeus (western European hedgehog) is the source of this 342-nucleotide unclassified non-coding RNA. Its record names the gene 7SK. It matches the Rfam family "7SK RNA". Rfam says of the family: 7SK was discovered as an abundant small nuclear RNA in the mid-70s but a possible function has only recently been suggested. The record is from Ensembl. Lineage: Eukaryota; Metazoa; Chordata; Mammalia; Eulipotyphla; Erinaceidae.
GGGUAAGAAUACAGCAGAUAUGUCACCCCAUUGAUCGCCAGGGUUGAUUCAGCUGACCUGGUUGGCUAGGCGGGUGUCCCCUUCCACCCUCACCGCUCCAUGUACGUCCUUCCUGAAGCUGUGCACUUGGUUGAAGAGGAAGACCUUCCUGGAAUAGAGACAGCAGAGACAGCAGGUCUUCAGUCGAGGGUAGAUCAGUAGAGUAGCUGCCUGCCCCUGCUAGAACCUCCAGCCAAGCUCUGUAUCCCCUUUCCAUGGAGGCGUCUCUAUUGAUCACACAGUUGGGCAGCAUAGCCAUGCCAGAAUGCUGUUUCCAAAAAUCUGCUUUUCAUUUCUGUGCAU